CAAGUCUAGUAUUAUAAUGCCCUUGUAAAUUAGGUAUCUUGUAUAAUGUUUAAUGUUAAAUUUACUUGAUAAUAUUGUUAUGAAUACUUUGAUUACGUAACUAAUGCUUGGACUUUAAUUUCAGUAGCGUCAUUAUUAUUGUAAAGGCAAUAGAAAUGAACAGAAGUGUUAAAGUACAUGGACCCUAUCGCCGGACCACUGGUCAUAGUUAUAAAACUUAUAUACAAAAUCAUUGAAGCAGUCCUACGAGCCUUACUUGAGUUAUGCAUAGAUGUUGCAUCUUACUCUGUUAUUGGUGGAAGCUGCAUAUUCUUUGGAUUAAUGUUUUUAAGGUAUGGAAUGUGUGAAAACGAUUGCCCAACAAGACAUUUUACAGUUAUAGCUGGCGUAUCCGUAGCUCUGUACGCUGCUCUCCUCAUGUUGUAUAGAUUCUUCUAAACCCAGUAUGAUUUUCUGUUAUUGUUCAAUUGUUUAUUAUAAGCUUACUCGAA
Helicoverpa armigera (cotton bollworm) is the source of this 491-nucleotide long non-coding RNA. RefSeq lists it as uncharacterized. NCBI's taxonomy places the organism in Eukaryota, Metazoa, Arthropoda, Insecta, Lepidoptera, Noctuidae. The record is from RefSeq and is a predicted model, not a curated record. The transcript is spliced from 3 exons.